GGACCGGUAGCUCAGUUGGAUAGAGCAACUGCCUUCUAAGCAGUAGGUCAAUGGUUCGAAUCCAUUCCGGUUCACAA
This 77-nucleotide transfer RNA is filed under the name Chitinophaga pinensis. RNAcentral describes it as "tRNA-Arg". It matches the Rfam family "tRNA". From Rfam's summary of the family: Transfer RNA (tRNA) molecules are approximately 80 nucleotides in length. Their secondary structure includes four short double-helical elements and three loops (D, anti-codon, and T loops). Further hydrogen bonds mediate the characteristic L-shaped molecular structure. tRNAs have two regions of fundamental functional importance: the anti-codon, which is responsible for specific mRNA codon recognition, and the 3' end, to which the tRNAs corresponding amino acid is attached (by aminoacyl-tRNA synthetases). tRNAs cope with the degeneracy of the genetic code in two manners: having more than one tRNA (with a specific anti-codon) for a particular amino acid; and 'wobble' base-pairing, i.e. permitting non-standard base-pairing at the 3rd anti-codon position. The record is from RNAcentral. Lineage: Bacteria; Pseudomonadati; Bacteroidota; Chitinophagia; Chitinophagales; Chitinophagaceae.